RNAcentral lists this ribosomal RNA (180 nucleotides) under uncultured bacterium. RNAcentral describes it as "partial 16S ribosomal RNA". It matches the Rfam family "Bacterial small subunit ribosomal RNA", at positions 338 to 509 of the family's 1533-position model. The record is from RNAcentral.
CCUACGGGAGGCAGCAGUAGGGAAUUUUCGGCAAUGGGGGGAAACCCUGACCGAGCAACGCCGCGUGAGCGAAGAAGGCCUUCGGGUCGUAAAGCUCUGUUGUAAAGGAAGAACGGCGCAUACAGGAAAUGGUAUGCGAGUGACGGUACUUUACCAGAAAGCCACGGCUAACUACGUGCC